UGCAGUCGACGCUUGUCGCAGGGUAGCAAUAUUCUGCGGCAGGAGUGGCGCAAGGGUGCGUAACACGUGGGUUAUUUGCCGCGAAGUUGGGAACAACUCGUUGAAAGACGAGCUAAUACCUAAUGUGCUCCGCAAGGAGUAAAGCCGGGGACCGAAAGGCCUGGCGCUUCGCGAUAAGCCCGCGGCCUAUCAGCUAGUUGGCGGGGUAAAAGCCCACCAAGGCUAAGACGGGUAGCUGGUCUGAGAGGACGACCAGCCACACUGGAACUGAGACACGGUCCAGACACCUACGGGUGGCAGCAGUCGAGAAUUUUUCACAAUGGGCGAAGGCCUGAUGGAGCGACGCCGCGUGGGGGAUGAAGGGCUUCGGCUCGUAAACCCCUGUCAUUUGCGAACAAAGGCGCCAACCUAACACGUUGUUGUCUGAUAGUAGCAGGAGAGGAAGGGACGGCUAACUCUGUGCCAGCAGCCGCGGUAAUACAGAGGUCCCAAGCGUUGUUCGGAUUCACUGGGCGUAAAGGGUGCGUAGGUGGUGAACUAAGUCGGGUGUGAAAUCUCCGGGCUCAACCCGGAGCGUGCGCCCGAAACUGGUUUGCUAGAGGAUAGGAGGGGAGACUGGAAUUCUCGGUGUAGCAGUGAAAUGCGUAGAUAUCGAGAGGAACACCGGUGGCGAAGGCGAGUCUCUGGACUAUUCCUGACACUGAAUCACGAAAGCCGGGGGAGCAAACAGGAUUAGAUACCCUGGUAGUCCCGGCCCUAAACGGUGCGCAUUUGCUGUGGGCGGAAUCGACCCCGCCCGUGGCGAAGCUAACGCGAUAAAUGCGCCGCCUGGGGAGUACGGCCGCAAGGUUAAAACUCAAAGAAAUUGACGGGGGCCUGCACAAGCGGUGGAGUAUGUGGCUUAAUUCGAUGCAACGCGAAGAACCUUACCUGGCCUUGACAUGCAGAUGGUAGAAGCCUGAAAGGGUGACGAUCCCGCAAGGGAAGUCUGCACAGGUGCUGCAUGGCUGUCGUCAGCUCGUGUCGUGA
This 1029-nucleotide ribosomal RNA is filed under the name uncultured bacterium. Its description in RNAcentral is "bacterial SSU rRNA". It matches the Rfam family "Bacterial small subunit ribosomal RNA", at positions 56 to 1070 of the family's 1533-position model. The record is from RNAcentral.